This 253-nucleotide ribosomal RNA is filed under the name uncultured bacterium. Its description in RNAcentral is "partial 16S ribosomal RNA". It matches the Rfam family "Bacterial small subunit ribosomal RNA", at positions 524 to 776 of the family's 1533-position model. The record is from RNAcentral.
UACGUAGGCAGCGAGCGUUGUUCGGAGUUACUGGGCGUAAAGCGUGCGUAGGCGGUGGUCCAAGUCUGGUGUGAAAUCUCCCGGCUCAACUGGGAGGGUGCGCCGGAAACUGGGCCGCUGGAGUAUGGGAGAGGCAAGCGGAAUUCCAGGUGUAGCGGUGAAAUGCGUAGAUAUCUGGAGGAACACCCGUGGUGCAGACGGCUUGUUGGACCAUGACUGACGCUGAGGCACGAAAGCGUGGGUAGCAAACAGG